RNAcentral lists this transfer RNA (75 nucleotides) under Dehalococcoidia bacterium. RNAcentral's name for it is "tRNA-Arg". It matches the Rfam family "tRNA". Rfam says of the family: Transfer RNA (tRNA) molecules are approximately 80 nucleotides in length. Their secondary structure includes four short double-helical elements and three loops (D, anti-codon, and T loops). Lineage: Bacteria; Bacillati; Chloroflexota; Dehalococcoidia. The record is from RNAcentral.
GCCCCCGUAGCUCAGAGGAUAGAGCACUGGCCUCCGGAGUCAGGUGCGGGAGUUCGAGUCUCCCCGGGGGUACCA